AUAGCACUUUUCACAGGUCCACCCCAGCUGUGGGGCUAGGAUUUGGUAGCUGGUGCUGAAAAUAACCCUU
RNAcentral lists this small nucleolar RNA (70 nucleotides) under Notamacropus eugenii (tammar wallaby). RNAcentral describes it as "Small nucleolar RNA SNORA30/SNORA37 family (ENSMEUG00000017961.1)". The record is from RNAcentral. Lineage: Eukaryota; Metazoa; Chordata; Mammalia; Diprotodontia; Macropodidae.